Molecule: ribosomal RNA, 502 nt
Filed under: Trichodorus primitivus
Lineage: Eukaryota; Metazoa; Nematoda; Enoplea; Triplonchida; Trichodoridae
Description: SSU rRNA
Rfam family: Eukaryotic small subunit ribosomal RNA
Source: RNAcentral
UCGCGAAUGGCUCAUACAACAGCCAUAGUUUAUUGGAUGUUUACGUUCCUACAAGGACACCUGCGGUAAUUCUGGAGCUAAUACUUGCGAAAUGCGACAACCUCACGGGAGUCGUGCAUUUAUUAGAUUAAACCAAUCGGUCCUUCGGGACCGCCAUUUGGUGAACUCUGAAUAACUUAGCUGAUCGCACAGUCUCGUACUGGCGACAAAUCUUUCAAGUGUCUGCCUUAUCAACUUUCGAUGGUAGUUUAUACGACUACCAUGGUUGUAACGGGUAACGGAGAAUAAGGGUUCGACUCCGGAGAGGGAGCGUGAGAAACGGCUACCACAUCCAAGGAAGGCAGCAGGCGCGCAAAUUACCCACUCGCAGAGCGCGGAGGUAGUGACGAAAAAUAACGAGGUGGCUCUCUAUGAGGUCCAUCAUCGGAAUGGGUACAAUUUAAAUCCUUUAACGAGGAUCUAUUGGAGCCCAUGUCUCCCCCGCACCCGCGGUAAUUCCAGC